UUCACACAGCCGUCAGACUAUAACAGAUGGCUGCUUCUUCGUCAUCUGUGAUUGAUCAAAGUCAGGCCUCCCGAUAUGUCAAAUUCAUCGGGUGUUGAAGAACAAUCGUUGACUGUUUAUGGGAUUUCGGAAGACAAUAUCAUCACAGGGCGUUGGGUCUUCAUCUCAUCGUGCUCAUGUGAUUAGUCUGAGAUUCCAUUGUUGCCGUAUGCAAAGGACUCUCGGCUUCUAAAUGGCACAUUAAGGUUUCAAGACCUGCAUCAAAGUGCUUAAGAAGUAAAGACCAAGUUAGAGACUUUGGAGGAGCAGGAGUCCUAAUGCCCUGCAAAGGUGCAAAUCAAAACGUUGAUGAAGUUUUUCUCACACUUUAGGAGGAGUCUCACACAAAUGAAUCACAACAGCUGCAACGACGUUUUUCUAAGUUUUAGUGUAUUAGCAAGCUCAUAAAUGAAUCCUGAAGAUUAUUUAUAAAAGUUGUAGUUAUCUUUUUUUUUUUUUUUGUAUGAAAGAUAUUUUUGUAUCUUU
This 525-nucleotide long non-coding RNA is filed under the name Helianthus annuus (common sunflower). Its description in RNAcentral is "sRNA HanXRQr2_Chr05g0231421". The record is from RNAcentral. Lineage: Eukaryota; Viridiplantae; Streptophyta; Magnoliopsida; Asterales; Asteraceae.